This 2658-nucleotide ribosomal RNA is filed under the name Triticum aestivum (bread wheat). Its description in RNAcentral is "partial small subunit ribosomal RNA". Lineage: Eukaryota; Viridiplantae; Streptophyta; Magnoliopsida; Poales; Poaceae. The record is from RNAcentral.
AUGUCGUCGCGGCUGUGCGUGAAGAAUCUGCCCAAGGGCGCCGACGAGAAGCGGCUGCGGGAGGUGUUCUCGCGGAAGGGCGAGGUGACCGACGCCAAGGUCAUCCGAACCAAGGAUGGAAAGAGCAGGCAUCUUGCAUUUAUUGGUUUCAGAACCAAUGAAGAGGCAGCGGAGGCCCUCAACUAUUUCAACAAUACAUACAUUGACACUUCUAAGAUCACCUGUGAGAUUGCACGGAAGAUUGGCGAUCCUGAUGCUCCUCGCCCUUGGAGUCGCCAUUCUUUAAAGAAGCCAGAAUAUAAUGCUAAAGACAAGACUAACAGUGGCGAUGUUAAUGCACCGCUGAAGAGUUCCAAGAGCCAAGGGAAGUCUGCUGAUGUGGGAGCUUCUAAAGGCACUAUAGCUAAUGAUCCCAAGUUCCAAGAGUUUCUUCAAGUUAUGCAACCCCGAUCUAAAGCAAAGAUGUGGGCAAAUGAUACAACGGGUACCCUUGAUGAUGCUGCCAAAGAUAGCACAGUAGCUACUGGAUCCAAGAAGUCGCAGAAGAGCGAAAAUGAUUCAUCGUCUGAAAAUGAUUCAUCUUCUGACGAUGAUUUUGAGGAGAAAAUAACAAAUGAUUUGCCCUCACAAGAUGCUUCAGAGAAGCUGCAAACUGAAAGUAAACGAGACAGCAGUAUGACAGAUAUGGACUUCUUUAAGAGUAAAAUUAGAAAAGAUUGGUCCGAUUCUGAAUCUGAUGAUGAAGAUUCUGGUGAUCAGUUGGGCAACAACACUGAUGAUGAAGAACCAUCUGAUGAAUCGCUUGACACAAAUGAAAAGGGUCAGAUGGUGGAUCAAAAGGGUAAUCUAAACCAGAAAAAUCAUGAAGAUAAUAAAGCGCCUAUGGAAGGUAGUGACAUGCAAGAGGUGGAAGAUUCUGACAACCAAGACAGUGAACAUAUUGACAGCCAACAAAAAGAUGAAAAUCAUGCCAAUCAAGAAACAGAAGAUGUGGAAGCCGCUUCAACUACUGAUGAAAAGAAGCUAGCACUGGAGACUGGCCGUUUAUAUAUCUGCAACCUUCCAUAUGCAACUACUGAAGAGGAUCUGGUUCAGCUAUGCAGCCAGUAUGGCGAUGUUGAACAGGCACAUAUUGUCGUCGAUAAAACCACUAAGCUCUCAACAGGCAGAGGUUAUGUCCUUUUUAGCCUUCCAGACUCAGCAGUCAGGGCACUUGAUGAAUUAGACAACUUAAGUUUUCAAGGGCGACUGCUACGUGUUAAGGCUGCUAAACCACUUAAUAAUAAGACAUUCGAGUCUAGUCAUUUUGCUGUUGAUGAGAAAAUGAAUCUCAAGGAGAGAAGGUUGGAACAAAAGAAAACAUCUGAAAUUGGUGGGGAUACAAGAGCAUGGAACAGCUUUUAUAUGCGUCAAGAUACUGUCGUUGAAAACAUAGCAAGGAAGAAUGGUAUAAGUAAGAGUGAGUUACUUCAUAGGGAAGCCGAUGACCUUGCUGUUCGUAUUGCUCUUGGUGAGACACAUGUCAUUGCGGAGACCAAAAAAUAUCUAUCUAGGUCUGGAGUUAAUGUUGAUGCCUUGGAAGAACAUACUUCCAAAAGAAACGAGAAGUUGAAACGAAGCAACCAUGUGAUAUUGGUAAAAAACUUGCCAUAUAGUUCUUCUGAAGAAGAUCUCGCUGCGAUGUUUCAGAAACAUGGAAGUUUGGAUAAAAUCAUUCUCCCACCGACAAGAGUAUUUGCCUUGGUAGUCUUCGUUGAAGCAACUGAGGCUCGUCAUGCUUUCAAAAAAUUGCUAUACACACGAUACAAGGAUACUCCACUGUAUUUGGAAUGGGCACCUGAAAAUAUUUUAUCUCCUACCUCAACAACCGUGGAAGAAGACGAAGCAAAUACAGCUGGUGAGAGGAUUAUUACAAAAGCUAUUGUAGAUCAAACAAAGGAAGGAGUUAGUGCUGAAGAGAUUGAUCCUGAUAGAGUGGAGUCCCGAUCUGUAUUUGUCAAGAAUUUGAAUUUCAAGACUACAGAUGAAUCGUUAAAGCAGCAUUUCAGUACAAAAUUGAAGACCGGGAGCCUUAAAAGUGCAACGGUGAAAAAACAUAUUAAGAAAGGCAAGAAUGUUUCAAUGGGAUUUGGCUUCGCUGAGUUUGAUUCGGUUGAAACUGCAACCAGUGUAUGCAAGGAUCUACAGGGAACGGUUUUGGAUGGGCAUGCUCUGAUCUUACAACUAUGCCAUGGGAGAAAGGAUGGUCAAACUACGAAGAAAAAUGAGAAGGACAAGAGCUCAACUAAACUGCUUGUGCGAAAUGUAGCGUUUGAAGCAACUGAAAAGGACCUGAGGCAAUUAUUUAGUCCAUUUGGCCAGAUCAAAACCCUGAGGCUGCCCAUGAAGUUUGGAAGUCACAGAGGUUUCGCGUUUGUCGAAUUCGUGACGAAGCAAGAGGCACAGAACGCUCUUCAAGCCCUUGCAAGCACCCAUCUCUAUGGCCGACAUCUGGUGAUUGAGCGAGCCAAAGAGGGAGAGACCCUUGAAGAAUUGCGAGCAAGAACUGCCGCUCAGUUUGUGGACGAACAGAGCGGUUUCCAGCGGAUGUCCAAGAAGAGGAAACAGACUAGUCUGGUGGACGAAGGCUCUGUUAAGUUUUCAAGGAUAGUAGAAUGA